RNAcentral lists this ribosomal RNA (1070 nucleotides) under Bifidobacterium pseudolongum. Its description in RNAcentral is "bacterial SSU rRNA". It matches the Rfam family "Bacterial small subunit ribosomal RNA", at positions 77 to 1145 of the family's 1533-position model. Lineage: Bacteria; Bacillati; Actinomycetota; Actinomycetes; Bifidobacteriales; Bifidobacteriaceae. The record is from RNAcentral.
GCUUGCUGCCGGGGUGAGAGUGGCGAACGGGUGAGUAAUGCGUGACCGACCUGCCCCAUGCACCGGAAUAGCUCCUGGAAACGGGUGGUAAUGCCGGAUGUUCCACAUGAGCGCAUGCGAGUGUGGGAAAGGCUUUUUGCGGCAUGGGAUGGGGUCGCGUCCUAUCAGCUUGUUGGUGGGGUAACGGCCUACCAAGGCGUUGACGGGUAGCCGGCCUGAGAGGGCGACCGGCCACAUUGGGACUGAGAUACGGCCCAGACUCCUACGGGAGGCAGCAGUGGGGAAUAUUGCACAAUGGGCGCAAGCCUGAUGCAGCGACGCCGCGUGCGGGAUGGAGGCCUUCGGGUUGUAAACCGCUUUUGUUCAAGGGCAAGGCACGGUCUUUGGCCGUGUUGAGUGGAUUGUUCGAAUAAGCACCGGCUAACUACGUGCCAGCAGCCGCGGUAAUACGUAGGGUGCAAGCGUUAUCCGGAUUUAUUGGGCGUAAAGGGCUCGUAGGCGGUUCGUCGCGUCCGGUGUGAAAGUCCAUCGCUUAACGGUGGAUCCGCGCCGGGUACGGGCGGGCUUGAGUGCGGUAGGGGAGACUGGAAUUCCCGGUGUAACGGUGGAAUGUGUAGAUAUCGGGAAGAACACCAAUGGCGAAGGCAGGUCUCUGGGCCGUUACUGACGCUGAGGAGCGAAAGCGUGGGGAGCGAACAGGAUUAGAUACCCUGGUAGUCCACGCCGUAAACGGUGGAUGCUGGAUGUGGGGCCCUUUUUCCGGGUCCUGUGUCGGAGCUAACGCGUUAAGCAUCCCGCCUGGGGAGUACGGCCGCAAGGCUAAAACUCAAAGAAAUUGACGGGGGCCCGCACAAGCGGCGGAGCAUGCGGAUUAAUUCGAUGCAACGCGAAGAACCUUACCUGGGCUUGACAUGUGCCGGACGCCCGCGGAGACGCGGGUUCCCUUCGGGGCCGGUUCACAGGUGGUGCAUGGUCGUCGUCAGCUCGUGUCGUGAGAUGUUGGGUUAAGUCCCGCAACGAGCGCAACCCUCGCCGCGUGUUGCCAGCGGGUCAUGCCGGGAACUCACGUG